GCUGGGCGUGGUGGCGCACGCCUGUAAUCUCAGCUACUAGGGAGGCUGAGGCAGGGGAAUUGCUUGAACCUGAGAGGCAGAGAUUGCAGUCAGCCGAGAUUGUGCCACUGCACUCCAGCCCAAGUUACAGAGCAAGACUCCGUCUCAA
Unclassified non-coding RNA from Macaca fascicularis (crab-eating macaque), 148 nucleotides. It matches the Rfam family "Metazoan signal recognition particle RNA". Rfam says of the family: The signal recognition particle (SRP) is a universally conserved ribonucleoprotein. It is involved in the co-translational targeting of proteins to membranes. The eukaryotic SRP consists of a 300-nucleotide 7S RNA and six proteins: SRPs 72, 68, 54, 19, 14, and 9. The record is from Ensembl. NCBI's taxonomy places the organism in Eukaryota, Metazoa, Chordata, Mammalia, Primates, Cercopithecidae.